Molecule: ribosomal RNA, 446 nt
Filed under: uncultured bacterium
Lineage: Bacteria
Description: SSU rRNA
Rfam family: Bacterial small subunit ribosomal RNA
Source: RNAcentral
AGAACGAACGCUGGCGGCAGGCUUAACACAUGCAAGUCGAACGCCCCUUUCGGGGGGAGUGGCAGACGGGUGAGUAACGCGUGGGAACGUACCCUUUGGUUCGGGAUAACCCAGGGAAACUUGGGCUAAUACCGGAUAAGCCGGAAACGGGAAAGGUUUACUGCCGAAGGAUCGGCCCGCGUCGGAUUAGCUAGUUGGUGUGGUAACGGCGCACCAAGGCGACGAUCCGUAGCUGGUCUGAGAGGAUGAUCAGCCACACUGGGACUGAGACACGGCCCAGACUCCUACGGGAGGCAGCAGUGGGGAAUAUUGGACAAUGGGCGCAAGCCUGAUCCAGCCAUGCCGCGUGAGUGAAGAAGGCCCUAGGGUUGUAAAGCUCUUUCAGCGGGGACGAUAAUGACGGUACCCGCAGAAGAAGCCCCGGCUAACUUCGUGCCAGCAGCCGC